This 714-nucleotide ribosomal RNA is filed under the name uncultured bacterium. RNAcentral's name for it is "bacterial SSU rRNA". It matches the Rfam family "Bacterial small subunit ribosomal RNA", at positions 160 to 873 of the family's 1533-position model. The record is from RNAcentral.
GGGUCUAUACCGGAUAGGACCACGGCCUGCACGGGUUGUGGUGGAAAGUUUUUGACGGUGUGGGAUGGGCCCGCGGCCUAUCAGCUUGUUGGUGGGGUGAUGGCUUACCAAGGCGACGACGGGUAGCCGGCCUGAGAGGGUGUCCGGCCACACUGGGACUGAGAUACGGCCCAGACUCCUACGGGAGGCAGCAGUGGGGAAUAUUGCACAAUGGGCGCAAGCCUGAUGCAGCGACGCCGCGUGGGGGAUGACGGCCUUCGGGUUGUAUACCUCUUUCACCAUCGACGAAGGCCCGGCUUUUGUCGGGUUGACGGUAGGUGGAGAAGAAGCACCGGCCAACUACGUGCCAGCAGCCGCGGUAAUACGUAGGGUGCGAGCGUUGUCCGGAAUUACUGGGCGUAAAGAGCUCGUAGGUGGUUUGUCGCGUUGUUCGUGAAAUUCCCUGGCUUAACUGGGGGCGUGCGGGCGAUACGGGCAGACUGGAGUACUGCAGGGGAGACUGGAAUUCCUGGUGUAGCGGUGGAAUGCGCAGAUAUCAGGAGGAACACCGGUGGCGAAGGCGGGUCUCUGGGCAGUAACUGACGCUGAGGAGCGAAAGCGUGGGGAGCGAACAGGAUUAGAUACCCUGGUAGUCCACGCCGUAAACGGUGGGUACUAGGUGUGGGUUUCCUUCCUUGGGAUCCGUGCCGUAGCUAACGCAUUAAGUACCCCGCC